RNAcentral lists this ribosomal RNA (620 nucleotides) under Cytobacillus firmus. Its description in RNAcentral is "bacterial SSU rRNA". It matches the Rfam family "Bacterial small subunit ribosomal RNA", at positions 35 to 644 of the family's 1533-position model. The record is from RNAcentral. Lineage: Bacteria; Bacillati; Bacillota; Bacilli; Caryophanales; Bacillaceae.
GCCUGGCGGGUGCUAUACUGCAGUCGAGCGGACAGAUGGGAGCUUGCUCCCUGAAGUCAGCGGCGGACGGGUGAGUAACACGUGGGCAACCUGCCUGUAAGACUGGGAUAACUCCGGGAAACCGGGCUAAUACCGGAUAAUUCUUUCCCUCACAUGAGGGAAAGCUGAAAGAUGGUUUCGGCUAUCACUUACAGAUGGGCCCGCGGCGCAUUAGCUAGUUGGUGAGGUAACGGCUCACCAAGGCAACGAUGCGUAGCCGACCUGAGAGGGUGAUCGGCCACACUGGGACUGAGACACGGCCCAGACUCCUACGGGAGGCAGCAGUAGGAAUCUUCCGCAAUGGACGAAAGUCUGACGGAGCAACGCCGCGUGAGUGAUGAAGGUUUUCGGAUCGUAAAACUCUGUUGUUAGGGAAGAACAAGUACCGGAGUAACUGCCGGUACCUUGACGGUACCUAACCAGAAAGCCACGGCUAACUACGUGCCAGCAGCCGCGGUAAUACGUAGGUGGCAAGCGUUGUCCGGAAUUAUUGGGCGUAAAGCGCGCGCAGGCGGUUCCUUAAGUCUGAUGUGAAAGCCCCCGGCUCAACCGGGGAGGGUCAUUGGAAACUGGGGAACUUG